Molecule: ribosomal RNA, 253 nt
Filed under: uncultured bacterium
Lineage: Bacteria
Description: partial 16S ribosomal RNA
Rfam family: Bacterial small subunit ribosomal RNA
Source: RNAcentral
UACGUAGGGCGCAAGCGUUGUCCGGAAUUAUUGGGCGUAAAGAGCUCGUAGGCGGUUUGUCGCGUCUGCUGUGAAAACCUAAGGCUCAACCUUGGGCUUGCAGUGGGUACGGGCAGACUAGAGUGCGGUAGGGGUGAGUGGAAUUCCUGGUGUAGCAGUGAAAUGCGCAGAUAUCAGGAGGAACACCGGUGGCGAAGGCGGGUCUCUGGGCAACAACUGACGCUGAGGAGCGAAAGCGUGGGGAGCGAACAGG